This 568-nucleotide ribosomal RNA is filed under the name Borrelia sp. F17. RNAcentral's name for it is "bacterial SSU rRNA". It matches the Rfam family "Bacterial small subunit ribosomal RNA", at positions 111 to 666 of the family's 1533-position model. Lineage: Bacteria; Pseudomonadati; Spirochaetota; Spirochaetia; Spirochaetales; Borreliaceae. The record is from RNAcentral.
UAACGCGUGGAUAAUCUACCUAUGAGAUGGGGAUAACUAUUAGAAAUAGUAGCUAAUACCGAAUAAGGUCAAUUAAGAUGUUAGUUGAUGAAAGGAAGCCUUUAAAGCUUCGCUUGUAGAUGAGUCUGCGUCUUAUUAGCUAGUUGGUGGGGUAAAGGCCUACCAAGGCUAUGAUAAGUAGCCGGCCUGAGAGGGUGAACGGUCACACUGGAACUGAGAUACGGUCCAGACUCCUACGGGAGGCAGCAGCUAAGAAUCUUCCGCAAUGGGCGAAAGCCUGACGGAGCGACACUGCGUGAAUGAUGAAGGUCGAAAGAUUGUAAAGUUCUUUUAUAAAUGAGGAAUAAGCUUUGUAGGAAAUGACAGAGUGAUGACGUUAAUUUAUGAAUAAGCCCCGGCUAAUUACGUGCCAGCAGCCGCGGUAAUACGUAAGGGGCAAGCGUUGUUCGGGAUUAUUGGGCGUAAAGGGUGAGUAGGCGGAUAUACAAGUCUAACGUAAAAUACCACAGCUCAACUGUGGAACUAUGUUGGAAACUGUAUAUCUAGAGUCUGAUAGGGGAAGUUAGAA